GUGACUGUCACAUAAAAAUUAGGAAUCUCACUAAAACCUAGUUAAUUACAGUGUGAAUGCAUCAGUGUCUGGCUAUAAUAAAUCUUGGGCACAUGCAUGACAUGCUCUCCCAAUUCAACUGCUAUCCCUAUCUUCAGAUCUACGAUGUCACAGUCCAGUCCACUAAUUAAUCAGUUCUUGCAAUUUUCCAAUGAGAUUUUCUUUUGAAUUUG
Molecule: unclassified non-coding RNA, 212 nt
Filed under: Hevea brasiliensis (rubber tree)
Lineage: Eukaryota; Viridiplantae; Streptophyta; Magnoliopsida; Malpighiales; Euphorbiaceae
Source: RNAcentral